This 61-nucleotide microRNA precursor is filed under the name Ornithorhynchus anatinus (platypus). RNAcentral describes it as "microRNA oan-mir-1421an precursor". It matches the Rfam family "mir-1421 microRNA precursor family", at positions 8 to 68 of the family's 74-position model. Lineage: Eukaryota; Metazoa; Chordata; Mammalia; Monotremata; Ornithorhynchidae. The record is from miRBase by way of RNAcentral.
AGGAGGCCGUACAUUGUGCAGAGCGAUGGCGGAAAGUGCUGCAUUGCGUGCGACCUCCCUA